This 271-nucleotide ribosomal RNA is filed under the name uncultured bacterium. RNAcentral describes it as "partial 16S ribosomal RNA". It matches the Rfam family "Bacterial small subunit ribosomal RNA", at positions 524 to 794 of the family's 1533-position model. The record is from RNAcentral.
UACAGAGACCUCAAACGUUGUCCGGAUUUAUUGGGCGUAAAGGGUCCGCAGGCGGUCUGAUACGUCGGUGGUCAAAUCAUCGGGCUUAACCCGGUGGCUGCCAUCGAUACGGUCAGACUCGAGCAUGGGAGAGGUAAGCGGAAUUGCCGGUGUAGUAGUAAAAUGCGUUCAUAUCGGCAAGAACACCAAAUGCGAAGGCAGCUUACUGGAACAUUGCUGACGCUCAGGGACGAAAGCGUGGGGAGCGAAAGGGAUUAGAUACCCGGGUAGU